UCGUGCUAGGCGGGGAGCUAGCGGUGCCCUGUAGCCCGAGAUCCGCUUAUGCGGGGCUGAAUUCCCCCUGGAGGGCCGCGGUCGGGUCUGCAGGCUCUAAUCCCGGUGCCGAUUGGACACCGCGCAACAGGCGAAUACGAACCCCGUCAGGUCCGGAAGGAAGCAGCGGUAAGUAUCCCCGGCUGUGUCGUGGUUCAAUCUAGUCGCGCACCGGCAGGCGAGCCCAAGAUCACGACGGGUUCAACAGAGGGUGCACGG
RNAcentral lists this signal recognition particle RNA (258 nucleotides) under Syntrophobacteraceae bacterium. Its description in RNAcentral is "signal recognition particle sRNA large type". It matches the Rfam family "Bacterial large signal recognition particle RNA". Rfam says of the family: The signal recognition particle (SRP) is a universally conserved ribonucleoprotein involved in the co-translational targeting of proteins to membranes. Archaeal SRP consists of a 7S RNA and homologues of the eukaryotic SRP19 and SRP54 proteins. The record is from RNAcentral. Lineage: Bacteria; Pseudomonadati; Thermodesulfobacteriota; Syntrophobacteria; Syntrophobacterales; Syntrophobacteraceae.